GGAUGUGGAGGGGCAGGGGCAGGGUAGCAUCUGCCCAGCCCCUGGGAAUUCAGCUGACCUGCUGGCUUGGUGUCCCCUUCCUCCCUCAACCUUCCUCAUGCAUCCCUUCUUGACACUGCACACUCACAGAAGAUGACCUUCCCAGCGAAAGGAUCAUUCUUCUGGAAAGCAUAUCUGCCCAAGUUUGUUGUGAAGAUAUAAUAAAGUAAUGGAUAUAAAGAUGCUUUAAAAACUGAACGCACUACACAAAUGUAAGUUAUUAUAAUUAUUAUGAUUAACAAUGU
Molecule: unclassified non-coding RNA, 284 nt
Organism: Colobus angolensis palliatus
Lineage: Eukaryota; Metazoa; Chordata; Mammalia; Primates; Cercopithecidae
Gene: 7SK
Rfam family: 7SK RNA
About the family: 7SK was discovered as an abundant small nuclear RNA in the mid-70s but a possible function has only recently been suggested. Two independent studies have found that 7SK RNA binds the CDK9/cyclin T complex (known as elongation factor P-TEFb).
Source: Ensembl